GGGGUGGCGGCUCAGUGGCAGAGCGCUUGCCUGGCAUGUGUGAGGCACUGGGUUCCAUCCUCAGCACCCCA
RNAcentral lists this transfer RNA (71 nucleotides) under Marmota monax (woodchuck). It matches the Rfam family "tRNA". From Rfam's summary of the family: Transfer RNA (tRNA) molecules are approximately 80 nucleotides in length. Their secondary structure includes four short double-helical elements and three loops (D, anti-codon, and T loops). Further hydrogen bonds mediate the characteristic L-shaped molecular structure. tRNAs have two regions of fundamental functional importance: the anti-codon, which is responsible for specific mRNA codon recognition, and the 3' end, to which the tRNAs corresponding amino acid is attached (by aminoacyl-tRNA synthetases). tRNAs cope with the degeneracy of the genetic code in two manners: having more than one tRNA (with a specific anti-codon) for a particular amino acid; and 'wobble' base-pairing, i.e. permitting non-standard base-pairing at the 3rd anti-codon position. The record is from Rfam by way of RNAcentral. Lineage: Eukaryota; Metazoa; Chordata; Mammalia; Rodentia; Sciuridae.